UACGGGGGGAGCAAGCGUUGUUCGGAUUUACUGGGCGUAAAGGGCGCGUAGGCGGCGCAACAAGUCACUUGUGAAAUCUCAGAGCUUAACUCUGGACGGUCAAGUGAUACUGUCGUGCUAGAGUGCAGAAGGGGCAACUGGAAUUCUCGGUGUAGCGGUGAAAUGCGUAGAUAUCGAGAGGAACACCUGCGGCGAAGGCGGGUUGCUGGGCUGAUACCGACGCUGAUGCGCGAAAGCCAGGGGAGCGAACGGG
RNAcentral lists this ribosomal RNA (253 nucleotides) under uncultured bacterium. RNAcentral's name for it is "partial 16S ribosomal RNA". It matches the Rfam family "Bacterial small subunit ribosomal RNA", at positions 524 to 776 of the family's 1533-position model. The record is from RNAcentral.